AAAAUUAGAGUGUUCAAAGCAGGCAGAUCCAAUUUUCUGCCACCGAAUACAUUAGCAUGGGAUAAUGGAAUAGGACCCUGUCCUCCUAUUUUCAGUUGGUUUUGGCAGCGCGAGGACUAGGGUAAUGAUUAAUAGGGAUAGUUGGGGGCAUUAAUAUUUAAUUGUCAGAGGUGAAAUUCUUGGAUUUAUGAAAGAUUAACUUCUGCGAAAGCAUCUGCCAAGGAUGUUUUCAUUAAUCAAGAACGAAAGUUAGGGGAUCGAAGACGAUCAGAUACCGUCGUAGUCUUAACCAUAAACGAUGCCGACCAGCGAUUAGGAGACGUUGAAUACAAAACACCACCAUCGGCGCGGUCGUCCUUGGCGUUGGUCCUUCACGGGGCCGGCGCGAGGGCGGCUAGCCC
RNAcentral lists this ribosomal RNA (401 nucleotides) under Acanthamoeba sp. Its description in RNAcentral is "SSU rRNA". It matches the Rfam family "Eukaryotic small subunit ribosomal RNA", at positions 762 to 1081 of the family's 1831-position model. Lineage: Eukaryota; Discosea; Longamoebia; Acanthamoebidae. The record is from RNAcentral.